Molecule: ribosomal RNA, 253 nt
Filed under: uncultured bacterium
Lineage: Bacteria
Description: partial 16S ribosomal RNA
Rfam family: Bacterial small subunit ribosomal RNA
Source: RNAcentral
UACGAAGGGGGCUAGCGUUGUUCGGAAUUACUGGGCGUAAAGCGCGCGCAGGCGGUCUUCCAAGUCAGUGGUGAAAGCCCGGAGCUCAACUCCGGAACUGCCAUUGAAACUGUAAGACUUGAGGACGAGAGAGGUGAGUGGAACUCCCAGUGUAGAGGUGAAAUUCGUAGAUAUUGGGAAGAACACCAGUGGCGAAGGCGGCUCACUGGCUCGUAUCUGACGCUCAGGCGCGACAGCGUGGGGAUCAAACAGG